UACAGAGGUCCCAAGCGUUGUUCGGAUUCAUUGGGCGUAAAGGGUGCGUAGGCGGUUUGUCGCGUCUGCCGUGAAAGUCCGGGGCUCAACUCCGGAUCUGCGGUGGGUACGGGCAGACUAGAGUGAUGUAGGGGAGACUGGAAUUCCUGGUGUAGCGGUGAAAUGCGCAGAUAUCAGGAGGAACACCGAUGGCGAAGGCAGGUCUCUGGGCAUUAACUGACGCUGAGGAGCGAAAGCAUGGGGAGCGAACAGG
This 253-nucleotide ribosomal RNA is filed under the name uncultured bacterium. RNAcentral describes it as "partial 16S ribosomal RNA". It matches the Rfam family "Bacterial small subunit ribosomal RNA", at positions 524 to 776 of the family's 1533-position model. The record is from RNAcentral.